GGAGAUGUAGCUCAGUUAGUCGAGUGUUUGCCUAACAUGCAAGAAGUCCUGGGUUCCAAUCCCAACACAUCAU
RNAcentral lists this transfer RNA (73 nucleotides) under Mesocricetus auratus (golden hamster). It matches the Rfam family "tRNA". Rfam says of the family: Transfer RNA (tRNA) molecules are approximately 80 nucleotides in length. Lineage: Eukaryota; Metazoa; Chordata; Mammalia; Rodentia; Cricetidae. The record is from Rfam by way of RNAcentral.